UUUAAAAUUGCUGUUUUUAUUAUUUUUAUUUGCUACCCAUAGUUUUAUUGUAAGAAAUACAAAAGUUAUGACAAAUAUACAAACCAUUUUCUUUUUGCUCAAAUUUAGCUUGUGCAUAAGUGAAAACAAUGAACUGGACAGUGAUAUUUCAACACCACAAUUCUUAAAAAAAAACAAUGAGUUCCAUUAUCUGACAAUAAAUACCUAAAUUUGCAUUCUAGCACCCUAGAAGUCAUCCAGUUUCCAAAAGAUUCUUGAUCGGUAACCCUCUGAAAUUUCUGACGUGUUACCUUGGCCAUCCCCGCAGAGUCGCCACUGGUAGUUCUCCCUCUCCACACGUUAGAGUGAGGUGAACACAAGAAGAGCUACCCCUGACCUCAGAAACCCUGGGUCAUUAAGCGUCCCUUACUCGAGCUAGUAUGUAAAACAGGUUGCUAGCGAUGGGAAUUUAAUGUAAAUUGUGGUGGUCCUUGGAUUGCAUACUUGAGGGGACACACUUACUCUUCUGUUUUCCUCUUUGGGUGAGAAGAGUAAACUGACCUAUAUUUUCAUCUACCCAAAGCAAGGCCACUCAGCUCAGGGCACCAUGAGGAGGGUAACAUUACAGCUAAGCUUUCUUCCUUUUCUCCUCUUUUCAAGUGUUGUCUUGGGAGGGUUUUCUGCGUGGAUGGUUGGUUGCUUGAGCGAGAUGGCUCUUUCCAUUCUCCUACUGUCUACACCUGAGGUCAUUUUUCUUUGAGGGCUGAAAGAUCCGCAUACGGAGGAAGGCCGCUGGUGUCAGGGAGCUGCACUGCACCCACAUCUGGGGAGAGCACGGGGUUUAGGGACCCUGUGAGGAAGGAUACCCAGGGGAGCCUGACAGACCAGUGUGGUAACAAUCUUGUGUACAGAGAAAAGAGCAGAAGCAAUACCUAACACCAAGCCAUCUGCCAACAUUCCUGUAAGACUGUGUUCCAGGCAGUGCAUUUUCGCACUGCUUCUUUGACCUGCUGAGCCCGAAGCACCAAAACAGAGCAUUCUGAAGCAAUAUGAGCAAACGGAAUGAGAGUAAUUUUGCACCUUUAGGGAACAUGCACCCUUAUAAGUCUGUACCCUGAUAUUAAAAUAGCAGAAUGAGCUUCAAGUAUGAAGAGAUACAGUAAAAGUAUAGCCUGUAGAUGGGUAGAAAACAGCAGCCUGGAAUGUGGUUUAUAUUCUCUGUUAGUUUUUCUCUUUGCACCACAGCCAAACCUGAAUGCUCGGUAGAAUGACUUGGUUUAAACAUCAAGCUAUACGUGAAGAUGCUAGAGGGCAUUGGUGAUGGAUGCCAUGACAUUCUCUGCACCAGGAACCUUCUCUGAUGAGUGCGGCCAGCCAAAGGUCAAGUAGGGGUGGUGGCUAAGCCUGGACAGGCAUACCUGUGAGGCCUAAAGCAUCUCUCAUCAUGUCCCUGACCCCAAAGAACAGCAGAGGAGGAUGGAGAGCACCACGUGGACAGGCCAGGAAGGGGAUGGGGAAGACUUCAGAGGGAGUGAGGGAGGAUAUAGGGGUUGACGGAGUAUCAGUUAGUUAUCCUCGGCUAGUUCACACAGCCUAAGUUAGUAUCUGAAAUGCACAUGCAAAUUCUCUGCCUCUUCAGAACCGUGAUUUCAAACACAGAAAUCAACAAGUCAAAUAUCCCAAUUAAGAUUUUUUUCUACUUUUAAAACAUUUUCUAUUAUAGAAAUAAGUAAAGAAAAUAAGCUAAAAAAAAAAAAAGGCUCACUGACUUCAACAGCCUUGCUGAAAUCUAGAAGUUUUAACUAGGCCCUAUAGGAAUGCAGAAACACUAAUACAUUUUACAGUGAAAACAUGCUUUUACACAUCUCAGAAAUGAUAAUUCUAUAAAGCCCUCUAGUUCUAAUCUGCACUCUACGGGAACUGAUAUUGUGCAUUUCUUAACACAUACUGCUCUUCUAUAUGAAACACUUGCCAUUUAACCUUUAGAUCAAAACAUAAAAUACCAGAAAUGCAACAAGCUUUUGAGGUGUUGGGGACUGUUGGUUAAAAUCCCAUUGUUGCCUACUGUACACGCAAUCCUCGUUUUAAUUACCAGACUAGGUUGCCUCUGUACAAAACCAAAAUGCCUGAAGCAUGGAAACUUGGACUUCUCCAUCUGACACAUUCUGGAAGCCUCAAAGCACAUGCUGACAGUUCUGCUUCUACAGAAAACUCUCACACUGCUCUCCUGUCAACACUACUACUGGUUCCCACUGCUGCACAUCUAUGAGGGCGCUAGAUUGCGUGCGGAAGUUUCUUCUCAAGGCCAGGUAACAAGAGGCACCAGCCAGGCACCUACUUCUGCCUGGCAUCUAUUCUGAUGGCCACCUGGCAGAGUUCCUAAAUUAAGGCAGUAUCUGAUAUUUUGCUGUCUGCGGUUUUAAUUUCUGCUCUAGUUUCACACUAUAGUAAAUGCAUAUUUGACAAAAGAACAAGUCAUUUGCUUUAAUUCCUUUACAUAAUGAUAAAACACCUAGACACAAAAAUACUAUCUCUAUAGACUUAAAUUCUACUAAUCAUGUUAAAAUGCAUGCAGCUUAUUUGGGGGUUUAGUCUAAUUUUAAUUCUCUUAGCUCCAUCGAGACCAUGAUAACGAGCAUUAAAUGCAAAUCCUAAUGCCGUCUGCUUUCUGUGCACUUUCACAGGACUAGUGUGAUUGAGAAAUAAAUAAUAUACAUGAAUAAUAAUAGAAAUAAUUUAUGCAAAUGUAGAACAACUUGAAAUAGAAAUUAUCCACCUUUUAAGUGCUGAUCCUAGGAGUAGUUGAUUCUAUUCAUUCAAUGUAUUAAUAUAUUUAUUACUGAUCAUAAGAAAAUAAAUGAAUACAAAGGAAAUAAAAUAUUCAUGUAUACAUUGUUGCAAACAUAGGAUCAAAAUGAGAAGAUAUAUAAUGCACUUGGGGGGGUAUUCAGGAAAGUGUAUCACUGCUGGGUCUGUUUUCAUCAUUCAGAGACUUCAAGGUCAAAUCUGGAGUUGCUGGUGAUCAAAGAAAUAUUGCUAGCUAAUACAUAUUAUUGCAUUUAAUACAACUUAAGAUUAGAAACUCUCAAGUAAGGGUAUGAAAAGUCUCUUCAGCACUGUAACCUAAGUACUUCAACUGAAUUGCCUGGAAACCAGAGUGAGAAAUGAUGUAACCUAUGAUCUUAUGCUUGCUGAUUAGUGCUACAAUCAUAGUUCUUUAUAGCAUCCUGUAUACCUAUGUGUCCCCUUAAAGAAAAUCUACAUUUGAAAAUCCAAACUCCUAAAAUAGAGAAAAAGUUGAUUGCUUGACAAAACCACUCACACAAAGGGUUCCUCUAAAUAGGAAAGUCUCCCUUCUAUAUGAGAUAACUUGCUCACAUACCUUUAAUUACUUGAUGAAGAAAAAAGAGAAGAAAUUAGAAUCCAAAGAGUUAGGAGCUUUCACCAACUAUGAAGCAGAAAAUAAACACAUUUUCCAAACAAAACUUUUCCAGGCAUAUCUUUUGCCAUCAUAUAUGUAGCAUAGAAAAUAAAAAAAUAAAAAAAAAUCUUUCCUGUAAUUAUACAUCUUCUCUUAAAAAAAAAAAAAAAAAAAAAAAGCAGAGCUUAGAGCUUGAGAGAUGCCUGGUAGCUUCAUACGCAGCAGCAUCUCUUUAUACCCGAACUUUCAGAGAACUGUGUUGUACUUACUUAUGCACAGUAGACACCCGUUUGCUUCUAGGGACAUGUUGCUUCCUAAGAUUGCAGAACAGAUGCCUCUGAGACAGCAGCAGGGCACAGGGACGCCGGACAGUACCUGGCCGGGUCUGCAGCCACUUCAGGCACUAACAGGUGAGCGGAGGGCGGGUUCCUAGCCAGCCCCGCCCACUGCCACUCACUGCCAAGGGGGCGAGGCGUCGGCGCGGCGCACCCCAGGGAUUUGCGGAGGGAGGGCAGUUUUGAACGCGAGCAAAUAAACUGGCCCAAAUGAUAACCCACUCGAGGUUUGAGCCCUAAGAUUUGACAACCCCUAGUGUGCGCGGCACUUUCAGUAUGAAAUUCAGUAUGGCUGAGGCUUGCCUGCUGGCUACUCUGGAGGAAAGUGAAGCAGGCAUAUCGAGUUUCUGCCACUCAGAAGGAAUAAACUGCCUUCUGUUAGGUUGUGCAAAGGAAACUCUGAAAGAUAAUUUCCUUCCUCCUAAAUUUCAGGGACACUAAUUGAAGAAAAUUACUUCUCAAAUUAACUAAAAUCAUCUGGGGAGUAAUGGGUCUUUGAGCAGAUCUGUGAAUUAAAACAAUAAUGUAUGAAAAAAAUACAUUUGUAUCAACUAAAGUUACCAAAGAACUUCAUAAGUGGAGAAAUCAAAGGCUUAUGUAGGUAUAUACUCCUAAAUUAUUAGCUUACAUGCUUAGAGAGAACUUUAAAAAAAAUUAGAAUUUCUCGUGAAUUUAUACUUGUGAUUAUACAAAUAUAAAAAAUUGCCAGGUCUUUUGGUAUUUUUAGGGCAGUUUCAGCAUAGCAAUUCUUUAGAAAAAAAUAGUUUUGUCUAUUUGUUGAUGCAUUAUUUAGUUUAUCCAUCUGAGCUUUAAAUUAAGAUUUUAAAAUUUAGCAAAUGUCUAACGGCCACCAUAGUAGGGAAUGUGAAAGCAGCUGACAGAGGGUAUGGGUAUUUCGGGGGAGGGAGGGUGAUCUGGAGGAGUUUUACACUCCUAACAAAACUAUCUGUUCACAGAUGAGUGUUGCCUUUUGAGUAACAAGCUCAUCUAUCUUUCUAACUUCUGCACCUGUAGAAGUGAGGUAAUUAGGUACCUCAAAAAGUAUAUCUUGAACAGAAGAAUGACUAGGCUCUCUCUCCUUGUGCACCUGAAUAAUCAAAAUGGGUGUAUUAUCCAUGCUCAAGAACAAUUUACUUGAAGGCAAUUGUUCAGAACCUAGCUAACAACUAAAACAUCUAAGUUACCCAGCAUUAUAAAGACUACUCAUCAUCCUGAAAAACGAGCUCUAGGCAAGAGUUAGAUGUGCAGAAAAAUAAAGUCAGAAGCCUUGCUCAGAUUUUCCCCUCCAAAGUGCCACCUUGUGGAAUACACUGGAAUAAAACAAGAAAGGCUAUCCCUUAGGACAGUGUGAAUUUUCAAACAGACAUAAGAAAAAUCCCCUCCCUUUCCUACCAUAUUAACUUCAAAUUGCUGUCCUAGUAUUUAAAUAGAUGCUUGAAAAAAAGUCUGUAUUUACUUUCAGGUGAGUCUUGAUUUUUCUUGCCAGCCAGAGCACCAGUAUCGAGGAAAAUAAAUAUGCUGAUGGAAGUCCAUUCAUUUACCUAAAUUAACUCCCUGGGAAUGCUAAGAAAUAGAAAGCAAUCUGAAAAGCCGACUCAAACUUCAUUUUAAGAAACACAACUAAUUGAGAUAAACAUUUAAAAAAACCAGACCCCCUCCUCUUUCUCCAUUUCUGUUAACAAAGGUCAGAAGAUGGCAAAGACCAAAGGAACAUUUUUGGUUUGUUUUCUGAAAAAAGUACAAGUUAGAAAUGCUUGAGAUAUAGAUAUAUAACAAAACC
RNAcentral lists this long non-coding RNA (5515 nucleotides) under Sus scrofa (pig). Its description in RNAcentral is "lncRNA (ENSSSCG00005042460.1)". Lineage: Eukaryota; Metazoa; Chordata; Mammalia; Artiodactyla; Suidae. The record is from RNAcentral.